Molecule: transfer RNA, 75 nt
Filed under: Cordylochernes scorpioides
Lineage: Eukaryota; Metazoa; Arthropoda; Arachnida; Pseudoscorpiones; Chernetidae
Description: tRNA-Thr
Rfam family: tRNA (bases 5-70)
About the family: Transfer RNA (tRNA) molecules are approximately 80 nucleotides in length.
Source: RNAcentral
GUACAGGGUAGCCUAGUGGUCAUGGCAUCUGCCCGGUAAGCGGAAGGUCGUGGGUUCGAUUCCCAUCCCUUGACA